Molecule: transfer RNA, 70 nt
Filed under: Ictidomys tridecemlineatus (thirteen-lined ground squirrel)
Lineage: Eukaryota; Metazoa; Chordata; Mammalia; Rodentia; Sciuridae
Description: Spermophilus tridecemlineatus (thirteen-lined ground squirrel) tRNA
Rfam family: tRNA
About the family: Transfer RNA (tRNA) molecules are approximately 80 nucleotides in length. Their secondary structure includes four short double-helical elements and three loops (D, anti-codon, and T loops).
Source: Rfam by way of RNAcentral
GGGGAUAUAGCUCAGCUGGUAGAGUGCUUGCCUAGCAUGCACAAGGCUCUGGGUUCAAUCCCUAGUCCCA